RNAcentral lists this ribosomal RNA (576 nucleotides) under uncultured eukaryote. RNAcentral's name for it is "SSU rRNA". It matches the Rfam family "Eukaryotic small subunit ribosomal RNA", at positions 205 to 795 of the family's 1831-position model. The record is from RNAcentral.
UAUUUAUUAGAUAAAAAACCAAUGCCCUUCGGGGCUCCUUGGUGAAUCAUAAUAACUUAACGAAUCGCAUGGCCUUGCGCCGGCGAUGGUUCAUUCAAAUUUCUGCCCUAUCAACUUUCGAUGGUAGGAUAGUGGCCUACCAUGGUAUCAACGGGUAACGGGGAAUUAGGGUUCGACUCCGGAGAGGGAGCCUGAGAAACGGCUACCACAUCCAAGGAAGGSAGCRGGCGCGCAAAUUACCCAAUCCCGACACGGGGAGGUAGUGACAAUAAAUACUGAUACAGGGCUCUUUUGGGUCUUGUAAUUGGAAUGAGUACAAUUUAAAUCCCUUAACGAGGAACAAUUGGAGGGCAAGUCUGGUGCCAGCAGCCGCGGUAAUUCCAGCUCCAAUAGCGUAUAUUAAAGUUGUUGCAGUUAAAAAGCUCGUAGUUGAACCUUGGGCCUGGCUGGCCGGUCCGCCUCACCGCGUGUACUGGUCCGGCCGGGCCUUUCCUUCUGGGGAACCUCAUGCCCUUCACUGGGCGUGUUGGGGAACCAGGACUUUUACUUUGAAAAAAUUAGAGUGUUCARAGCAGG